GUGCAAUUUUAUAAGAGAGCACAAGCUGUGCUGCAGCAGAUUGCAAACAAUUCCUGUAAUGCCUGGGUUUGACCUCCUGUAACUUUGUCUCCCAACUAUAUGGAAACCAUAUGCAGCCGUUAGUCUUUCUAAAGAUUAACUUCUUGAAGUGACCAGGCCAUGACUCAUGACCCAACCCCACCCCUCAGUCUGCUGUGACUCAUCGAAGAAGCCAGAUAAACUGAACGCUGAACGACAGCAAUGGGAGAGGAGACUGUCUCUCCCUUGCUGGCUUGAAGAAGCAAGCUGCCAUGUCAUAAGCUUUCAUGUGGAGAGGACUACGCAGCAACCAGCACAGGGCAGCCUCUAGCCAACAGCCAGCAAGAGACUAAGGCUCAGUCUGCUACCUACAAGGAACCGAACACUGCCAACAAUCACAUGGACUUGGAAGCAGAUCUUUUCUUAGUUGAG
RNAcentral lists this long non-coding RNA (450 nucleotides) under Equus caballus (horse). Its description in RNAcentral is "lncRNA (ENSECAG00000059255.1)". The record is from RNAcentral. Lineage: Eukaryota; Metazoa; Chordata; Mammalia; Perissodactyla; Equidae.